GUGGGGCCCCUUUCUCAUCGCACAUCCUGGAGCUCAUUUCUGCUCCGAACUCGUUCUUCUUGAUAUCUUAAAUUCAGAAAUGUGUCCUUGACUACCGACAUGAAUGAGUACUGCAGAAAUUGAAUCUCAAAGGCACGCCCUCUUCCCCGCCCCUAGUUAGUUGAAGGAUAGUUCGGGAAAUGCCUCGGACUUGGAUAAAGGGUUUGAUGUGGUGUUGUAUUAUGUGUCUGAAAAUUGGAGCUUUUCAAAGUCAAUUUUUAAGAAACCAUCCAUGGCAUACUCUUUAUAGACAGUAAAAGAAGGAACAAAACCUGAAUGCCACAAAGGGUUAAUUAUUACCUGUAAAACCCCUAAGGACUCAAGAGUGAUGACAGCCUGCUCUAAGUCUGUCUUGCGCUUGUCUCCCAAGAAAAACACAACUGUGUACUCAUUAACUCCUUCUCUCCAAUAAUCUUGUCAAGGAGAUGGAUGGGGAGAAAGUUAGUGAGGGAGCUAAUGAGUCUGGGGAUGGAAAGGAAGAGAAUUCUGAUGUCUCCCUGCCUCCGGUUCCAGCAUUUUCCUCUGAGAGAGUGACUCAAAGGAUUUUUAAAAGUUACAAAAAAAAAAAAAAAAUUCUGACCAUCUUGAAACCCUGCAGCUCACCAGGAGAGGCAGCUCCUUACCUCCAAAGAUGGACUGAUGACAUCACCAGAGGCAUAUUGGAGAGGCAAGUGAAAUAUUAG
Molecule: long non-coding RNA, 722 nt
Filed under: Cricetulus griseus (Chinese hamster)
Lineage: Eukaryota; Metazoa; Chordata; Mammalia; Rodentia; Cricetidae
Description: lncRNA (ENSCGRG00015030253.1)
Source: RNAcentral